Molecule: transfer RNA, 68 nt
Filed under: Liua tsinpaensis (Tsinpa salamander)
Lineage: Eukaryota; Metazoa; Chordata; Amphibia; Caudata; Hynobiidae
Description: tRNA-Phe
Rfam family: tRNA
About the family: Transfer RNA (tRNA) molecules are approximately 80 nucleotides in length. Their secondary structure includes four short double-helical elements and three loops (D, anti-codon, and T loops). Further hydrogen bonds mediate the characteristic L-shaped molecular structure. tRNAs have two regions of fundamental functional importance: the anti-codon, which is responsible for specific mRNA codon recognition, and the 3' end, to which the tRNAs corresponding amino acid is attached (by aminoacyl-tRNA synthetases). tRNAs cope with the degeneracy of the genetic code in two manners: having more than one tRNA (with a specific anti-codon) for a particular amino acid; and 'wobble' base-pairing, i.e. permitting non-standard base-pairing at the 3rd anti-codon position.
Source: RNAcentral
GUUUAUGUAGCUUAAUUAAAGCAUGGCACUGAAGAUGCUAAGAUAAAUUUUAAAACAUUUCAAAAACA